Molecule: non-coding RNA, 4502 nt
Organism: Arachis ipaensis
Lineage: Eukaryota; Viridiplantae; Streptophyta; Magnoliopsida; Fabales; Fabaceae
Source: RefSeq, a predicted model, not a curated record
ACUUUGCUUUUGUUUUGAGUGACGGGAGCAGCACACACAAAUUCAUUUCUUCUCAGUCAUCAUCAUCACUUGGGGGAACUCCUCUCCCGCCAUUUCCCCCCUCUCUUCGUCUUACUUUGUUACUUUCACUUAACACACAGCACCCACAAAGAAAGGAAGAAAACAUGAGUACCGUUGAUAAGAUGCUCAUCAAAGGCAUUCGGAGCUUCGACCCAGAGAACAAGAAUGUCAUCACCUUCUUCAGACCCUUAACCCUAAUCGUUGGCCCCAACGGUGCUGGAAAAACCACAAUCAUCGAGUGCUUGAAGCUUUCUUGCACCGGCGAGUUGCCUCCUAAUGCAAGGUCUGGUCACAGCUUCAUUCAUGACCCCAAGGUUGCUGGUGAAACUGAAACGAAGGGCCAGAUUAAGCUCCGAUUUAAGACAGCAGCGGGAAAAGACGUGGUUUGCAUAAGGUCCUUUCAGCUCACACAAAAGGCGUCGAAGAUGGAAUACAAGGCAAUUGAGAGUGUACUUCAAACUAUUAAUCCUCAUAAUGGGGAGAAAGUUUGCCUUAGCUAUAGAUGUGCAGACAUGGAUAAGGAAAUUCCUGCGCUCAUGGGUGUUUCUAAGGCCAUUUUAGAAAAUGUUAUAUUUGUUCAUCAAGAUGAAGCGAAUUGGCCACUGCAGGAUCCUUCCACAUUGAAGAAAAAGUUUGACGACAUCUUUUCUGCAACUCGAUAUACAAAGGCACUGGAGGUUAUAAAGAAACUUCACAAGGAACAAGCACAAGAGAUAAAGACUUUCAAGCUUAAGCUUGAGAAUCUUCAAACAUUGAAAGAUGCAGCCUAUAAGCUUCGUGAAAGCAUUGCCCAAGACCAGGAGAAAACAGAAUCUCUAAAAUGUCAGUUACAGGAGUUGGAAGGAAGCAUUAAAGAUGUGGAUGAUAAAAUACAUCAUGCAGAGAAAACACUGAAAGAUUUGCGAAAGCUGCAGGACCAAAUCUCAACUAAAACUGCUCAACGAAGCACUCUGUUUAGGGAACAACAGAAACAAUAUGCAGCUCUUACCGAGGAUAAUGAAGACACUGAUGAAGAGUUGAUGGAAUGGAAGACAAAGUUUGAAGAAAGGAUUGGAUUUUUACAAACAAAAAUAAGCAAAUUGGAGAGAGACUUGAAUGACAUUGACACUAAAAGUUCUUUCCUUAAGCAGACUAUCAAUGAUUCCAUCUGGGAGAUCAGCAAGCUUCAAACUGAAGCUGAAGCUCACAUGUCUUUGAAGAAUGAACGUGAUUUGUGUAUUAAAAAUCUUUUUGCGAAGCAUAAUUUAGGGCCUCUUCCAGAGUCACCCUUCACUGAUGAGGUUGCUACCAACCUGACCAAUCGUGUAAAAUCAAGGGCUUUAGAUCUUGAGAAGGACCUCCAAGAUAAAAAGAAAGCAAAUGAUAAUAAACUCAAGAUGGCAUGGGACUGCUACAUGAAUGCCAAUGACCGAUGGAAAAAUACCGAGGCUCAAAAAAAAGCUAAAUCAGAGAUCAAGAAUGGCAUUGUUAGACGCAUUGAGGAAAAAGAAAAUGAGCGUGAUUCACUCGAACUUCAAAUUUCCAAUGUAAACAUUUCUCACAUUGAUGAAAGAGAAAGAAAUUUGCGAAUAGAUGUCGAGAGGAAGACAAACCAACUAGCUGAAAGAGAAUUUGAAGUAAAUAUACGUCAAAAGCAAAGUGAGGUAUAUAGUAUUGAACAAAAGAUUAAGGCUGUCAAUCGGGAGAAGGAUAUCAUGGUUGCUGAUUCAGAGGACAGAGUGAAGCUAUCUUUUAAGAAAGCAGAGUUGGAGAAUCACAAGAAGAAACAUAGAAAGAUAGUAGAUGACCAAAAGGAUAAAAUAAAAAUGGUGCUAAAAGGGAGGGUCCCUGCUGAUAAGGAUCUGAUGAAGGAAGUUUCUCAAGCAUUAAGGACUCUUGGUAGUGAAUAUGAUAAUCAAAAUGCAAGUUGCAAUGCGGUCAAAAUGGAAGUUACCAAGUUGGAGACAAAAGAAACGGAAAUUAAAAAUAAUCUGCAGAAACACAAGAAGGAUUUGGAAUCAAAAAAGAGACGUAUUGAAACCGAGCUUCAGUCUUUGGAUCCUCAGUGGUCUUGUGUUGAUUCUUAUCCCAAAAUGUUAGAGUCUUUUAAGGAGAAGAGAGAUUUCACAAUAAGCAAGUAUAAAGGUAAUGAAGGUAUCCAAAACUCACUUGAUCAUUUUGCAAAGGAAGCCAGAACUAAGCAUGCUUGCCCUUGCUGUGACCGCGCCUUCUCUGCAGAAGAAGAAGACGAGUUUGUGAAGAAGCAAAGAUCAAGGGUUGCUAAUUCAGCUAAAGUUAUUAAAGCUCUUGCUGAGGAGUCUGCAAUUGCAGACUCUAACUAUCAGCAGUUGGACAUCCUUCGUGUAGUUUAUGAAGAAUAUGUCAAACUUAACGAGGAGACAAUCCCUGAUGCUGAAAGUAAACUUCAGCAAAUUAAUGAGGAGCUGGAUUGCAAAUCUCAGGAACUGGAUGAUAUGUUAGGUGUUUUAGCACAAAUACAGAGUGACAGAGAUGUGGCCAAAGCAUUGAUGCAACAUAUUGAAAACGCUGACCGGCAUUUUCAAGAAACUAUUGCUUUGCAGAAGCAAGUAGAGGAUUUAGAAUAUAAGCUUGAUUUUCGGGGACAAGGAGUGAGGACUAUGGAAGAAAUUCAAUUGGAGCUUAAAUCAUUGCAGGGAACAAAGGACAAUUUACAUGCUGAAUUGGAGAAGCUGAGGGAAGAACAGAGAUAUGCAGAGAAUGAUCUAUCAAGUAUUCAAAUUAGGUGGCACACUCUUAGGGAGGAGAAAGUCAAAGCAGCUAACACAUUGCAAGAUGCUAAAAGGGUAGAAGAAGAAUUAGCACGUCUGACUGAAGAAAAGACCAAUGUUGAUCUUGAUGAAAAGCAUUUAGCAGAAGCUCUUCGACCCUUAUCCAAGGAGAGAGAUAAAUUACUUGCUGACCAUGAUGAACUGCAAGUUAGACUUAAUCGUGAUUAUCAGUACCUUGUUGAACAAAAGAGAAUUUAUCAGCAAGAAGCUGAAUCACUUUUUAAAAUGACUUCUAAAAUUAGAGAGUACUCAGAUUUAAAGAAAGGGGACAGGUUAAAGGAACUGCAGGAAAAGAAAUCUCUAUCAGAGUCUGAACUUAAAAGUUGUGAUGCUAGGAAGCAAGCAAUUUUAGCUGAUAUUAACAAAAGCAAAGAUUUGUUGCGAGAUCAAGAUAAUAUAAAAAGAAAUAUCGAGGACCACUUAAAUUACCGGAAAACAAAGGCUGAAGUAGAUGAGCUAGGACGUGAAAUUGAAACACUCGAAGAAAGUAUAUUGAAGGUUGGUGGUGUGUCCGCAAUUGAAAGUGAACUACAGAAAUUAUCAAAGGAGAGAGAGACGCUUCUUUCAGAGUUAAACAGGUACCAUGGAACAAUGUCUGUUUACCAAAGCAAUAUUUCCAAAAAUAAGAUUGAUCUUAAGCAGUCUCAAUACAAGGACAUAGAUAAGCGAUACUUUGAUCAACUUAUACAGCUUAAGACAACUGAAAUGGCGAACAAGGACCUGGACAGAUACUACAAUGCACUUGAUAAAGCAUUGAUGCGCUUCCACUCAAUGAAAAUGGAAGAAAUCAACAAAAUUAUAAGGGAAUUGUGGCAACAAACCUAUAGAGGACAGGAUAUAGACUACAUUAGUAUUCAUUCAGAUUCUGAAGGUGCUGGGACCCGUUCCUACAGUUACAAGGUUCUCAUGCAGACUGGUGAUGCCGAGCUAGAAAUGAGAGGAAGAUGUAGUGCGGGCCAGAAGGUCCUUGCAUCUCUUAUCAUUCGCUUGGCGUUAGCUGAAACUUUUUGCCUCAAUUGUGGAAUAUUGGCACUGGACGAGCCAACCACAAAUUUGGAUGGCCCCAAUGCUGAAAGUCUGGCUGCUGCUCUCCUAAGGAUCAUGGAAGACAGGAAAGGCCAGGAAAAUUUUCAGCUAAUCGUAAUUACUCAUGAUGAGCGUUUUGCUCAACUGAUUGGUCAGCGCCAGCAUGCAGAGAAAUAUUAUCGAGUCUCAAAAGAUGAUCUGUAAGGAUAGCCGUACCAGCAUUUAUUUCAAAUUCAUUUGAUUAUAUGUGGAUCCUUCGGGUGAAAUUUUUAUGACCUUGUCACUACUAAUUCAGCACAGUAUAAUUGAAUGCCAGGAGAUAUUUGACUGAAGAGAAGACUAUAUUUAGUUAGUUACUCCUUCGAGAAUUCUUGUCUGACCACAUCGGAGAAAAUGAGGAUCUGAAGAACCGGAGCCCCAAGACUUCAUACAUUUAUGCUGUAACUUGAUCAAGUUAUAAGAUGCUCUAGAUGGGUGGUAAUUUAAGCACGCUUCGUUGGUUAAAAUUUGUAUACUAAUUUUGUUAAUCUUUGACUACUUUCUAUAACAUUUGAAUUUUGUUCAUAAGCUUUUCAUUAUUGCUGGAAUUUUGAAAUCAGGCCUGUAUAUAAGAAAAUGAUUGAUCAU